GAUGUAGAGAGAGUAACGCAACGACAAUCUCAUUUAAGUCCCUUAAGGCCCCAUAAGAAGCGAAGCCAUCCAAUAGGGACGAGAGAGAAGCCAGAGAUCUCACAAAAUUUAUCUUGGAAUUUAUGCAUGGCAGUCAGAUGGUAGUUGAUAAGGAGAAUUCAUCUCCAUCUGCCUGUAGUCACCGCAAGAGCAUCGAGAUCCAUAUGAACCGAUGUCUUGCAACAAUUGAAAAUUCCUUG
Molecule: small nucleolar RNA, 239 nt
Filed under: Trichophyton rubrum BMU01672
Lineage: Eukaryota; Fungi; Ascomycota; Eurotiomycetes; Onygenales; Arthrodermataceae
Description: HACA-box snoRNA
Source: RNAcentral